GGGAGACAUCGCGCGCGCUGCCGCCGCCGCCGCCGUUUCUUCUGGGCCGCGUGACGCGCGCGCUCGGUGGGCGCGUUCCCGCGGUGCGGGCGGGAGCUGCGCCACAGCGCUGGGCGGCCUCCGUGCUUCACCCACCGCCACUCGGCGGACGGCGCCGAUCCGGAGCUUUCAUCCGCCGCUGCCCGGGUUUUGGCGCUCUCUCCGCUGCUGAAAGCUCCGAGAAAGGCGGUGGAAAUUCUUCCUGCCAUGAAACACACUGUUCUCUCAAGACACGACAAGGCAUUCUUCAUUAAAUAGAGUGUGAUUGUGUUGCUCAGAGAGGAGCUACAUCAUUCUGCCUCUUCCUGAGCAUGAUUUGAAUGUCGGGAUCAGCCCAAGACAAUGCAAGAACACAAGCCAUGAAAUCAAGAAUCUAGGAAAAAAGAAGUGUCUUACCUCCGUUUUUUUUCUAGCAAGGGGUUCUGCCUUAUACGGUCUGGGGUAGAGCUGUUUCUUGUGUUCAUAGCAACAUCUGUCCGGUCACUGUCAUUCAUGUCAAGUAGCAGAGCAAUUUGCUGAUUCACUCAAAAGAGACACAGAAUGAGACUUUUUUCAUGGAAGCCUUUUUUUCCCUCCUGUGCUGGCAGACCUAACUCCUGGCUUUGUACUCUCCGGGACAGUCAUUUAAUGAGCAGUCAGUGAAUCAAUCCUUACAAGACACACAGACUGAAAUGUUCAAAUGCAACUACCUGAACGUGAAUCGAAGGCACUGAUGGGAGAAUGCAACAACCCUUUGCACAGUGCCCGGCGUCAGUCUUAUGCUUGCUUAUCUCACGGGAAAGUCACACUGUGGAUUUGAAUUCAUUAUUUAAUCUAAAUACUCUCAGAGAGACACUGGCUGUCAGAAGUGACUUUGUAAAUCAGUCUACGGGAGAUCGGAAAGGGGAGAAAUAGAUGACAACAAGGAGACGUCUUGAAGGAAGAACUAGGAAACAGCAGAAUGGUUGGAUGUUGGGGAUCCUCCACCUGUACCAGUCAGAAUUCCCUGGCCUCGAGUCUGUCUGUGCUUCAUGAACUAAGCAAAAAAAAAAAAAAAAAAAAAAAAAAAAAAAAGGAAUUAAAAGACAAGGUGAAAAAAAAAAAAAGGCAAAAAAAGCAAAAUGUCAGUAUAAGACUUCUUCACCUAAAUCAGAAAAUGCGGUUCUGAAGAGCCCACAGGAAGCUAGUAGACAAGGAGCAGUGGUGGAAUCUUAAUAGAAUUUAGCUGACAAAUGUGGAAGAGUGGCAUGAAUCAAUCAGAGAUUUACAGUUUGGCCAGGUUGGAUGGUUUCCCAGAAGGGUACUGAAAAGAACUUGAAGGCCAUGCAGCUUCUUUCUUUCUCAACUGUGAUUGCAUGACAGUUUAGUGGCUUCUGCCAAGAUGAAAAGGCAUGCAGGCAUCUUAAUAAAGUAGCUAAUGAGCAGAAUUUCUUUUGUUGAUGAAUAAAUGGUUUUUCCUACCUCAUUAUUUUAAAUGUGAGGACUGUGUUCAGUUUGGAGUGUGUUUUUAAACCAGCCUGAUGGACUUGCUUGACAUGGACAGCUCAAAUGGUUUCAGUUUGGCAAACUGGCAACCAGCUGAAAAUGUGAUCUUCUGCUGGUCACAGAGCAACAAGUGGUCUUGUGUGAGUGCAUACGAGUGGAUGAGGCUGUGAUUUGGACGAAGAGCUGAACAGCCGUGUGCCUGCAUCUGAAAGAGAGCACAGCUGGGCAAUGAUAGUGCAGAAGGAAGGCUCUAGAGACUCUUCUCAUUAAAGUAUCUCUGAUUGUCAAAGAGAACUGUUCGUUUGUUCUGUGAAUACUACCAUGCGUUACAGGUCUUGCUGUUUCCAAAGGCGAGUGGUGGUAUAUGGAAUGAAGGCACCAUAGCUGCAAACAGACUGGCAGUGAAAAUCUGAAUUUCGGACAGGACUUUCUAAGAAAUGUAUGUCCACACUGGUCUGCGGAGUCUUUCUGAAAUGACUGAAGGAAGGAGCCUGCAGGCCUUCACAAGAGGAGUUCCUUUUGGAACCAAAGGCAAUAAAACUCUUAGACUGCCAAUAUCAGGAGCUUGGUUUCAACAACCUGAGAUGCGAUGUGCAUGUGUCUGUUGCCUUAGCCUUUACCUUGAUGUCUUUCCAAAAUGUGUUCUCUGGAGUAAGUUCUCAUACAAGCUAGCCUGCUGUUCUGCAUCUUUUCUGUUUUCCCCAGGCUGCAGCAGGUUCACCUUCUAAGCUGGCCCAUCAGCAAUGCUGUGAGAGCUCAGUAGCUUUAUUUGCCCUGUCUUCUCCGUUUGUUUUUCCUUCAAACCCUUAGCAAGCCUUUUUGUCUUCGCCACCUCUGAACUCUCUGCUGCUGUCUUCUGCCUGGGUCCUACUGCACCAGGGGUCAUCUCUGCUUCAUGUAGUAUGGCCUUGGCCUCCAGCUGCCACUAGUUUGGGUUGAAGGCUGCGCAGGGGCUGUGGGGCUGAGCCCACAGCUGGAACACUGCCAUCAGCAUAGGGGAGGAGGGAAGAGGUCUUUUCUCGCUCUCCUUGCAUAUUUGCACCCAUUGGAGCCUUGGUGUUGCUGCCAUGGACCCACAAGGUUGCCCUCAUCAGUGCUAGGCAUUCAGUAUUCAGCUUGAACGUGGAGGUGUGCUUUGCCAGGAGGAACACCACCAUUUCCAGGCAGCAGGGAUGCACAUCACCAGCUCUCUCAGUGCCACAAGAGGCCAUCCCAACUCCAAACACUACAUGGGGAAGCUGCCUGGAAAAUGGGAGAGAAUUUCUACAUCAGGAGUGACUCAGGACUUUGGUAUAUUGCGUUCUCAAAUAUUUAUUUCAGUGUUCUUAUAAAUGUUUUAUUUGGAGAAAAAUAUUGUAAUUAGCCAAUAUUCCAUAAAAUCUAAAUAUUUUGCUCUAAGAUAGUACUUCCCCUGAUUGUGGAGAUUUGAUUCUUUGCUGAUUACACAGUUCAAGCUCUGUGUAUUGACGAGGGCUUUCCUCCACUCUGUGGUCUGUUUACAUGUGACUGAGGCCUUAAUCCAGGCACUCUAAUAGCAAGCGGGGACAAAGACGAUUUAUCCUUGGUUAAUCUUCAAAAAUUGCUUUUCAUCUGACUUUUUUUCCACUGAGGAAGAUUGCAUACGGGAACAGAAUGGGGCAGUUGAGGAAUAAAAAGCAGAGUUCCCUGUAA
This is a long non-coding RNA of Gallus gallus (chicken), 3174 nucleotides long. RefSeq lists it as uncharacterized. The record is from RefSeq and is marked validated. Lineage: Eukaryota; Metazoa; Chordata; Aves; Galliformes; Phasianidae. The transcript has 2 exons.